RNAcentral lists this long non-coding RNA (336 nucleotides) under Glycine max (soybean). RNAcentral describes it as "long non-coding RNA (GMAX_LNC003200)". The record is from RNAcentral. Lineage: Eukaryota; Viridiplantae; Streptophyta; Magnoliopsida; Fabales; Fabaceae.
AAAAAAUAAAUUUAUGAAAACACUUAUAAGUAUAAAAUAAGAUUUAAAAAAAUAUGCACUCAAACAUGAACCACCUCACCGGCGACCACAAUAUUGUCGAGAUGUUGCUCAGUUGUGCCUUUCCAUUCCAAAAUUACUAUUUCUCUUUUCUCUCUUCUUCCUUUUCUCCUUCUUGCACUUCUCUUCGCCCCUUUUGCACUCCUCUUUUCUAGAUUUGAGAUUACUUCUCCCUCCUUCCUGAUGCCAAAGAUGUUGAGGAGAGAAAGAGUAGACAUUGUUUGGAGAAUUGCGAGGUCGACCUCACCAAAUUGUGCGUCCGGGGACUUUGCACCUUAU